CAACGUGGGUAACCUGCCUCAUAGAGUGGAAUAGCCUUCCGAAAGGAAGAUUAAUACCGCAUAAUGUUGAAAGAUGGCAUCAUCAUUCAACCAAAGGAGCAAUCCGCUAUGAGAUGGACCCGCGGCGCAUUAGCUAGUUGGUGGGGUAACGGCCUACCAAGGCGACGAUGCGUAGCCGACCUGAGAGGGUGAUCGGCCACAUUGGGACUGAGACACGGCCCAG
Molecule: ribosomal RNA, 223 nt
Filed under: uncultured bacterium
Lineage: Bacteria
Description: partial 16S ribosomal RNA
Rfam family: Bacterial small subunit ribosomal RNA
Source: RNAcentral